CCCGACUGCUAUUUGGGUGAGAAUAAGCCAUGCGAGUUGAAUGGGAUACCUAAAGUUCCCAUAGCAAACUGCUCAGUAACACAUGAUCAACUUACCCUAUAGAGAAAAAUAACCUCGGGAAACUGAGGAUAAUGUUUCAUAAUUGAAUUGGCUUGGAAAAGUUUUUCAAUGAAAAGGAUAAAAAAAAUGGUUUUUAUCUGCUAUAGGAUAGGAUCGUGUUCGAUUAUGGUUGUUGGUGAGAUAAUGGCUCACCAAGCCGAUAAUCGAUAGGGGCCGUGAGAGCGGGAGCCCCGAGAUGGGUACUGAGACAACGACCCAGGCCUUACGAGGCGCAGCAGGCGCGGAACCUCCGCAAUACACGAAAGUGUGACGGGGUUACCCAAAGUGUUCAAUAGAACUGUGGUAGGUGAGUAAUGUCCCCUACUAGAAAGGAGAGGGCAAGGCUGGUGCCAGCCGCCGCGGUAAAACCAGCUCUUCAAGUGGUCGGGAUAAUUAUUGGGCUUAAAGUGUCCGUAGCCGGUUUAGUAAGUUCCUGGUAAAAUCGGGUAGCUUAACUAUCUGCAUGCUAGGAAUACUGCUAUACUAGAGGGCGGGAGAGGUCUGAGGUACUACAGGGGUAGGGGUGAAAUCUUAUAAUCCUUGUAGGACCACCAGUGGCGAAGGCGUCAGACUGGAACGCGCCUGACGGUGAGGGACGAAAGCCAGGGGAGCGAACCGGAUUAGAUACCCGGGUAGUCCUGGCCGUAAACGAUGCAUACUAGGUGAUGGUACGGCCAUGAGCCGUAUCAGUGCCGUAGGGAAACCGUUAAGUGUGCCGCCUGGGAAGUACCGUCGCAAGGCUAAAACUUAAAGGAAUUGGCGGGGGAGCACCACAAGGGGUGAAGCCUGCGGUUCAAUUGGAGUCAACGCCGG
This 912-nucleotide ribosomal RNA is filed under the name uncultured archaeon. Its description in RNAcentral is "bacterial SSU rRNA". It matches the Rfam family "Archaeal small subunit ribosomal RNA", at positions 21 to 921 of the family's 1478-position model. The record is from RNAcentral.